Non-coding RNA from Pseudopodoces humilis (Tibetan ground-tit), 869 nucleotides. NCBI's taxonomy places the organism in Eukaryota, Metazoa, Chordata, Aves, Passeriformes, Paridae. The record is from RefSeq and is a predicted model, not a curated record.
UCUUUUUCAAUUCAUUAAUUAUACACCAGGCCUGUGGGCACAUUGAAUCACCUGGUGAGCCUAAUCUCUAAAGGUUUACCAGGAAAAGCCCCAGGGAGAACAGCUGGGUAUCUGUACUGUGUGUAGUUUUGGGUAACAUGAGGGGCUUGUGUAGCCCGAGGUGGGACAGACACUGAGCCUGUGAUGUGCUGUUAUCCCUGUCUGACACUCAGCUUGAGGAAAAUAUCCACUGAGGCUCAGGUACUUCCCUUAGUGGGUCCCCUGCCCCUUGCAGAGGGUGCACAGGUGUGAGUGUGACAGAAUCUGUCCCCUGUCCUGCCACCCUGUGCCGUGUGACAACAGCCAGGAGCAGUCCCAGGCGCAGAGCUGAGCAGAGCUGCUGUUGUCAUAGCACAGUUUAGAGCUGCAAAGAGCUUUCAAGUUCCUUGUGCAAAUAGUGACAGGUUGAAGGGCAGAUAAGAAAUGCAUUUUUUAUCUUGCCUGAUGUACAGUCACUGAACACACAGGCUGGAACAGCACUUUGUCUUGGGCAGCUGACAGCUGCCUUCUUCUAAAUGAUUUUAUGCUUUAUUGAACAGAAUUUGGCUUUGUUUGCAGAAGGUCAAUAACUUCUGACAGGCUGCCCAGCAGAGCUGGUGAACAGGGAGUGUCAUCAGGAGCCAAGAUCUAGAAGAUUGUUUUGGACUGAGUGUCACAAAUGACUGCUGAUAUGUGAAAUAGCCACCUGUGUGUAGCCACAGGCUCCUCCUCAUUGCUCAGUUGUUGCUGCAGCCACACCAUGGGACCUGAUCUACAGUUGCCUGGAGGAAAAAGUGGUUCCCUGCUUUCUUCUGUUCCAGAAUAAAAUAAGUUGUGGAAAAUCUUAAAAA